This 480-nucleotide ribosomal RNA is filed under the name uncultured bacterium. RNAcentral's name for it is "bacterial SSU rRNA". It matches the Rfam family "Bacterial small subunit ribosomal RNA", at positions 28 to 507 of the family's 1533-position model. The record is from RNAcentral.
GACGAACGCUGGCGGCGUGCCUAACACAUGCAAGUCGACUUGACUGAAGGAGCAAUCUGACAGUAGAGUGGCGCAAGGGUGCGUAACGCGUAAGUAACUUGCCCAAGGUAAGGAAUAACGUCGAGAAAUCGGCGCUAAUACCUCAUAAUGCAGCGGAUCCGCAUGGAUAUGUUGUUAAAGGUUUACCGCCUUGGGAUAGGCUUGCGUCUGAUUAGUUAGUUGGUGUGGUAACGGCACACCAAGGCUACGAUCAGUAACUGGUCUGAGAGGAUGAUCAGUCACACUGGAACUGAGACACGGUCCAGACUCCUACGGGAGGCAGCAGUGAGGAAUAUUGGGCAAUGCUCGAAAGAGUGACCCAGCAACGCCGCGUGGAGGAUGAAGGUAUUCUAUAGCGUAAACUCCUGUGAGAGCAGACGAAAGACAGAUUAUUAAUCUGGAUGACUGUAUGCUCAGAGGAAGACCCCGGCUAACUACGUG